CACACGACUCUCGGUAACGGAUAUCUCGGCUCUCGCAUCGAUGAAGAACGUAGCGAAAUGCGAUACCUGGUGUGAAUUGCAGAAUCCCGCGAACCAUCGAGUCUUUGAACGCAAGUUGCGCCCGAGGCCACUCGGCCAAGGGCACGCCUGCCUGGGCGUCACGC
This 164-nucleotide ribosomal RNA is filed under the name Triticum aestivum (bread wheat). RNAcentral's name for it is "5.8S ribosomal RNA". It matches the Rfam family "5.8S ribosomal RNA". From Rfam's summary of the family: 5.8S ribosomal RNA (5.8S rRNA) is a component of the large subunit of the eukaryotic ribosome. The record is from RNAcentral. Lineage: Eukaryota; Viridiplantae; Streptophyta; Magnoliopsida; Poales; Poaceae.